Molecule: ribosomal RNA, 256 nt
Filed under: uncultured bacterium
Lineage: Bacteria
Description: partial 16S ribosomal RNA
Rfam family: Bacterial small subunit ribosomal RNA
Source: RNAcentral
UACAUGGGGUGCAAACGUUUGCUCGGAAUUAUUGGGCGUAAAGCGCGCGUAGGCGGUUACUUAAGUCGGAUGUGAAAGCCCUCGGCUUAACUGAGGAAGUGCACCCGAAACUGCAGAGCUUGAGUGCCGGGAGAGGGUGGCGGAAUUCCCCAAGUAGAGGUGAAAUUCGUAGAUAUGGGGAGGAACACCGGUAGCGAAGGCGGCCACCUGGACGGCAACUGACGCUGAGACGCGAAAGCGUGGGGAGCAAAACAGG